Molecule: ribosomal RNA, 2896 nt
Filed under: Clostridioides difficile
Lineage: Bacteria; Bacillati; Bacillota; Clostridia; Peptostreptococcales; Peptostreptococcaceae
Also listed under: 1 other name
Description: bacterial LSU rRNA
Rfam family: Bacterial large subunit ribosomal RNA
Source: RNAcentral
UCAAGUUAUUAAGGGUGCAGGGCGGAUGCCUUGGCACUAGGAGCCGAUGAAGGACGUGAUAAGCUGCGAUAAGCUUCGGGGAGUUGCACGUAAACUUUGAUCCGAAGAUUUCCGAAUGAGGAAACUCACUUAGAGUAAUGUCUAAGUAUCAUUAAGUGAAUACAUAGCUUAAUGAGGGGAACUCAGGGAACUGAAACAUCUAAGUACCUGAAGGAAGAGAAAGAAAUUCGAUUCCGUAAGUAGCGGCGAGCGAACGCGGAUUAGCCCAAACCAAUAAAGUUUUCUUUAUUGGGGUUGCGGACAUAUCAUAACGAAGAGGUAUCGUAAUUGAAGAGGUUUGGAAAGACCCACCACAGAAGGUAAUAGUCCUGUAUGUUAAACGAGAAGACUUUAGAUAUGAUCCAGAGUACCACGGGACACGUGAAACCCUGUGGGAAGCAGGAGGGACCACCCUCCAAGGCUAAAUACUACCUAGUGACCGAUAGCGUAUAGUACCGUGAGGGAAAGGUGAAAAGAACCCCGGGAGGGGAGUGAAAUAGAACCUGAAACCCUGCACUUACAAGCUGUGGAAGCACAUUUCUUGUGUGACCGCGUACUUUUUGUAGAACGGGCCAACGAGUUACGUUAAGUAGCAAGGUUAAGCACUUAAGGUGUGGAGCCGUAGCGAAAGCGAGUUUUAACUGAGCGUUCAGUUACUUGACGUAGACCCGAAACCGGGCGACCUACCCAUGAGCAGGAUGAAGCGAAAGUAAAAUUUCGUGGAGGUCCGAACCCACGAGCGUUGAAAAGCUCGGGGAUGACUUGUGGGUAGCGGUGAAAUUCCAAUCGAGCCCGGAGAUAGCUGGUUCUCCCCGAAAUAGCUUUAGGGCUAGCCUCAAGGUGAGAGAUACGGAGGUAGAGCACUGAAUGUCCUAGGGGGUAUUGCACCUACCGAAGACUAUCAAACUCCGAAUGCCGUCAUCUUAUACUUGGGAGUCAGACUGUGGGUGAUAAGAUUCAUAGUCGAAAGGGCAACAGCCCAGAUCGUCAGCUAAGGUCCCUAAAUGUAAGUUAAGUGGUAAAGGAUGUGGGAUUGCACAGACAACCAGGAUGUUGGCUUAGAAGCAGCCACUCAUUCAAAGAGUGCGUAAUAGCUCACUGGUCGAGUGAUCCUGCGCCGAAGAUUUCCGGGGCUAAAACUUACUACCGAAGCUACGGCAUCAGUAAUGAUGGGUAGGGGAGCUUCCCAUACGGGUUGAAGCAUGACCGUAAGGACAUGUGGACAGUAUGGGAGUGAGAAUGUUGGCAUGAGUAGCGAGAUGUGGGUGGGAAUCCCACAGGCCGUAAACCCAAGGUUUCCAGGGGAAGGUUCGUCCGCCCUGGGUUAGUCGGGACCUAAGCUGAGGCCGAAAGGCGUAGGUGAUGGACAACAGGUUGAUAUUCCUGUACUACCGAUAACCAUUUGAGAGAAGGGAUGACACAGUAGGAUAAGCUAAGCACACUGUUGGUUAUGUGUGCCCAAGCAUUGAGGCAGUCAAAGUAGGCAAAUCCGCUUUGAUAAUGCUGGGAUGUGAUGGGGAGCGAAAUUUAGUAGCGAAGUAGCUGAUUUCACACUGUCAAGAAAAGUCUCUAUCGAGGUUAAAGGUACCCGUACCGCAAACCGACACAGGUGGGUGAGGAGAGUAUCCUAAGGCCAGCGAGAGAACUGUUGUUAAGGAACUCGGCAAAAUGACCCCGUAACUUAGGGAUAAGGGGUGCCACCAUCAGGUGGCCGCAGAGAAUAGGCCCAAGCGACUGUUUACCAAAAACAUAGGUUUCUGCUAAGUCGCAAGACGAUGUAUAGGAGCUGACGCCUGCCCGGUGCUGGAAGGUUAAGGGGAUCUGUUAGAGCAAUCGAAGCAGUGAACUUAAGCCCCAGUAAACGGCGGCCGUAACUAUAACGGUCCUAAGGUAGCGAAAUUCCUUGUCGGGUAAGUUCCGACCCGCACGAAAGGCGUAACGAUUUGGGCACUGUCUCAACAACAGACUCGGUGAAAUUGUAAUUCCGGUGAAGAUGCCGGAUACCUGCGACAGGACGGAAAGACCCCAUGGAGCUUUACUGUAGCUUGACAUUGGGUCUUGGUACUACAUGUACAGGAUAGGUGGGAGGCUUUGAAACCAGGACGCCAGUUUUGGCGGAGCCAUCCUUGGGAUACCACCCUUGUAGUACUGGGACUCUAACCAUAGGCCAUGAAUCUGGUCUUGGGACACUGUCAGGUGGGCAGUUUGACUGGGGCGGUCGCCUCCCAAAAGGUAACGGAGGCGCUCAAAGGUUCUCUCAGUACGGUCGGAAAUCGUACGUAGAGUGUAAAGGCAAAAGAGAGCUUGAUUGCAAGACAUACAGGUCGAGCAAGGAUGAAAAUCGGACUUAGUGAUCCGGUGGUUCUGCGUGGAAGGGCCAUCGCUCAACGGAUAAAAGCUACCCUGGGGAUAACAGGCUUAUCUCCCCCAAGAGUCCACAUCGACGGGGAGGUUUGGCACCUCGAUGUCGGCUCAUCACAUCCUGGGGCUGUAGUAGGUCCCAAGGGUUGGGCUGUUCGCCCAUUAAAGUGGUACGCGAGCUGGGUUCAGAACGUCGUGAGACAGUUCGGUCCCUAUCCGUCGCAGGCGUAGGAAAUUUGAGAAGACCUGUCCUUAGUACGAGAGGACCGGGAUGGACGUACCUCUGGUGUACCAGUUGUUCUGCCAAGGGCAUGGCUGGGUAGCUAUGUACGGAAUGGAUAAGCGCUGAAAGCAUCUAAGCGCGAAGCCAACUUCAAGAUAAGAUUUCCCACCGCAAGGGUAAGACCCCAGAAAGACUAUCUGGUUGAUAGGUCGAAGGUGUAAGUGCAGCAAUGUAUUUAGCUUAUCGAUACUAAUAGGUCGAGGACUUGACCAA